AUGCUUUGUAGUUGAAAGGUCCGCCGCUUCGGGAUGGGUCUGCGGCCGAUUAGGUUGUUGUUGGGGUAACGGCCCAACAAGCCUGUAAUCGGUACGGGUUGUGGGAGCAAGAGCCCGGAGAUGGAUUCUGAGACACGAAUCCAGGCCCUACGGGGCGCAGCAGGCGCGAAAACUUUACAAUGCGAGCAAUCGUGAUAAGGGAACUCCGAGUGCCCGUAAAAUCGGGCUGUCCGCCAGUGUAAAAAACUGGUGAAGAAAGGGCCGGGCAAGACCGGUGCCAGCCGCCGCGGUAAUACCGGCGGCUCGAGUGGUGGCCACUAUUACUGGGCUUAAAGCGUUCGUAGCUGGUCUGUUAAGUCUCUGGGGAAAUCUUCCGGCUUAACCGGAAGGCGUCUCAGGGAUACUGGCAGACUAGGGACCGGAAGAGGUGAGAGGUACUCCAGGGGUAGGAGUGAAAUCCUGUAAUCCUUGGGGGACCACCUGUGGCGAAGGCGUCUCACCAGGACGGCUCCGACAGUGAGGAACGAAAGCUGGGGGAGCAAACCGGAUUAGAUACCCGGGUAGUCCCAGCUGUAAACGAUGCGCGUUAGGUGUAUCGGUGACCACGAGUCACCGAGGUGCCGAAGAGAAAUCGUGA
Molecule: ribosomal RNA, 637 nt
Filed under: uncultured archaeon
Lineage: Archaea
Description: bacterial SSU rRNA
Rfam family: Archaeal small subunit ribosomal RNA
Source: RNAcentral